This 454-nucleotide ribosomal RNA is filed under the name uncultured bacterium. RNAcentral describes it as "partial 16S ribosomal RNA". It matches the Rfam family "Bacterial small subunit ribosomal RNA", at positions 28 to 507 of the family's 1533-position model. The record is from RNAcentral.
GAUGAACGCUGACAGCAUGCUUAACACAUGCAAGUCAACUUGAACUUCGGUUUGGGUGGCGGACGGGUGAGUAACGCGUACAGAACUUGCCUCACAGCUAGGGACAACAUUUGGAAACGAAUGCUAAUACCUGAUAUUAUGAUUAUAUGGCAUCGUAUAAUUAUGAAAGCUAUAUGCGCUGUGAGAGAGCUUUGCGUCCCAUUAGCUAGUUGGGGAGGUAACAGCUCACCAAGGCGAUGAUGGGUAGCCGGCCUGAGAGGGUGAUCGGCCACAAGGGGACUGAGACACGGCCCUUACUCCUACGGGAGGCAGCAGUGGGGAAUAUUGGACAAUGGACCGAGAGUCUGAUCCAGCAAUUCUGUGUGCACGAUGAAGUUUUUCGGAAUGUAAAGUGCUUUCAGUUGGGAAGAAAAAAAUGACGGUACCAACAGAAGAAGUGACGGCUAAAUACGUG